CCGGGCCUCCCUCUCCACAGGGUCCCAGCCCAGGGCCCUGUAGACAGGGACUCUUGCUCCUGCCUGCUCGGUGGGGAAUCCGGCCGAUACGCACCGAGCUGUGAUAACAAUCCCUGGCCCUGGGCUGCUUCCUACCCCCUGGCCCCCGGAGUCCGUCCGCCUCCGCGUUGGUCCUUGCCAGGGCCGGGGCUGGCGGGAAAUGGCAGCAAAAUGUCGCAGUGCAGGACCAGUGGGCAGAAUAAUGAAGUGAACAGUAGUGCGAUGAACAGCAACCAGACUGAAUGGCAGUGCAGGGACAGACUUGGGGGAGGUCUCCAUUUCAGAGAGAGGAGCCAGACUGUUCGUGUGGAGCCUUUUCGGGGCCUGAAGCUUCUGCUGGAAGCUAGAGCCUGCUGUUGAGAGCUUGCUGGAGCUUGGAUCUAGCAGGCUGCUUCAGGGGCUGUUGGUGUGAUUAUCCCUGGAGGAGAGAGACUUUGUCUGUGCCUGUGGCUGAGAAGGACCUUCAUGACCCUGCAUAGAAGCAUUCCAAGCUACUGACAUCAAGAGGGCUGUAAGCAGAAGUAGAUUGCUGGCCUCAUUCAGACAUCAGUAGCUGGAGUGGGCUAGAACUCUUCAACUCCUGCCAUCACAGAAACUUGCAGAGGCCUGUGACGCUGUUGAAGCUGUCCCCCCAGAAAAUAAAUGCUUCAACAAGAAGGUGAUGACAGGCUCAAGUGACAGGAUGAUGCAAAGACAAGAGGCCUUCUGAAUCCUCACCCAAAGCCAUUGCUACUUUAGCAUUUUUGAGGAAAUUCAAGGACAUGGUUUAGAGCUCUAAUUCCUUCAGCAACUUACCACUGCCAGACCAGCCGCCACUGAAGGGCAAGCCACACCACUCGAGCCAGCUAUCCGACCCUUGGGGAACCGAAAGUGCAGGACCGUCCACAAGGACCUCAUGAGGGAGCACGUGGCUGUACUGUGUGACAUGCAGAGGACCCUAGGCCAAAUGGUCUGGGAUGAUGCUGAAUGGUGGAAAUGCAUGUGGGACUACCUUGUGCAGGAGGGUGAAAACGUGUGCCCCCAUCCAGGAAGUGAUGGCAUACCUGGCUCCUGUCCCCACUCCAGCUCCUGCCACUCCAGCCCUCCCCAGUUCAGCUCCCCCUGCCAUCCCUGAUCCUACUCCAGGUCCCCAUACUGCCCACCCCCUUGUCCCAGGCUCCACCCACUCCUGAGUUUGCCAAGGUCCCCGGACCCAAGGUGGCACUACCAGCUGCCCCAUUCCACUUCCAACUUUAUGCCCCCCAUCUUCCCUUCCCCUCCAGGUUCUCAGUCCCCCUC
Molecule: non-coding RNA, 1317 nt
Organism: Pelodiscus sinensis (Chinese soft-shelled turtle)
Lineage: Eukaryota; Metazoa; Chordata; Testudines; Trionychidae
Source: RefSeq, a predicted model, not a curated record